Molecule: RNA transcript, 7469 nt
Organism: Pleuronectes platessa (European plaice)
Lineage: Eukaryota; Metazoa; Chordata; Actinopteri; Pleuronectiformes; Pleuronectidae
Gene name: NACHT, LRR and PYD domains-containing protein 12
Exons: 16
Source: RefSeq, a predicted model, not a curated record
UGACGUCACCUGCACCGACAGGACACCGCGGAGGACCUGGACCGGAACCGGGUUCAGUUAGCACGGUUCGAAUUAGCACAGUUAGCACGAUUAUCCUCUGAAUCAAGACCACGAACCGGACCCGGGUCUGUGACACGGGUCUGGUUGAGUUCACACCUUCACACCUUCUCCAGGUGAGUCCGCGCUGUUCACACCGGAUUCACACCGUCAACACAACAACAACAACACUUCAGCUUAGGAUCCACUUCCGCUGGACCGCGCGCUAAGGACUCUUCACAAUAAGAGCUAAUACUGUAAACACAUUGAAUUGACAUGUGAGAGACGGACAAGUAGAGAGAGAGAAAGAGAGGGACAGACAGAUAAGUAGAGAGAGAGAAAGAGAGGGACAGACAGACAGGUAGAAAGAGAGACAGAUGUUAGUAGAAUUAGAAGGUGGAUGAUAAAUAAUAUUAGAUACAAUUACAAAAUAAACUGUGUAAAGUCAAAAUUCCCGACAGAUCUGUGCGUCUGCGUGCGUGUGUGUGUGUGUGUGUGUGUGUGUGUGUGUGUGUGUGUGUGUGUGUGUGUGUGUGUGUGUGUGUGUGUGUGUGUGUGUGUGUGUGUGUGUGUGUGUACCUGGCUCUGCAGGUCGAUGUUCCUCACACCUCAGCCAGUGAGUCCAGAGCUUUACUGGGAUCCACAGUGAAGACUCUCCACUGGUUGGUGACCACUGCUGUAACGUGUUACGGUGAAAACACGUUCAAAUCAAAUCAAAUCAAAGUUUAUUGUCACAUGCACCAAUGACAGCGUCAUCGGAGCAGUGAAAUUCUUAUGACAUGGCAGCAAACAUCUACGCAGUAGGCGACUUUACAAAAUGACAAAAAAAUAACAUACUAUGUAACAUAACAUAUAACAUAACAUUGUAACAUAUAACAUAUAACACAGUCAAGUGAAUAUUAAAUUAAGUAAUAUGAAUAUAUGUAUAACAUAUAACAUAGUCAAAUUAAAGUCAAAGUUAAAUGAAGCAGCAGUUUACAGGGUGAAGGAGUGGGGAAUAUUAAAUUAAAUCAAAUAAUAUGAAUAUAGGUAUUACAUAGGCAGAUAAAAGUCAAAUGAAGUAGCAGUUUACACGGUGAAGGACUGGGUAAUAUUAAAUUAAAUUAAAUUAAAUAAUAUGAAUAUAGGUAUUACAUAGGCAGAUAAAAGUCCAAAUGAAGCAGCAGUUUACAGGGUGAAGAAGUGGGGAAUAUUAAAUAAAAUAAUAUGAAUAUAUGUAUAACAUAUAACAUAGUCAAAUAAAUUCAAAUGAAGCAGCAGUUUCCAGGGUGAAGAAGUGGGGAAUAUUAAAUAAAAUAAUAUGAAUAUAUGUAUAACAUAUAACAUAGUCAAAUAAAUUCAAAUGAAGCAGCAGUUUUCAGGGUGAAGAAGUGGGUAAUAUUAAAUAAGAUAAGUAUAUGUGAAGUAAGUGUAUUUGUAUGAUUCGGGAGCAGAAUGUACAUGGUGACUAUUCAGAGGAUAGAAAAAAAAAAUGCUAUCUAACGUAACAUAUAACAUCACAUCGUAACAUAUAAUGUAGUCAAGUAAAGCAGUAGUUUACAGGGUGAAUGGAAUAUUAAAUUAAAUAAUAUGAACAUGAAUAUAUGUAUAAAUAUAACAUAGUCAAGUCAAAGUCAAAUGAAGUAGCAGUUUACACAUUCUCGACGAUGUUUAUUAAUGAACUCUAUUUUCUAUGGUUUUCUUCCUUCAUGUGUUAGAUAUUAGUAUUUUGUGUUUAUACUUAAAAAAACGUGUGUUUUUCUUUGAAGCAAAUAAAAACAGUUUUUUUAACGUCACGAUUCUCCAAUAAGCUUUGAGAUCAACUUGUUUUAUACUGUAUGUGAAUAAAACACUAAAUGAAAACUUACAUGUCAAAUAAAUCCAAUGAAAAUAUGAUCAAGGCUUUGGUCAAGUUUUCUGUGAAAUAGAAUUUACACUCACAUCAGUUUUAUUUCUUGUUUUCAUAGAAAGUAGUUUCUAUGGUGGAAUUCCAGUGAAUCCAGUUUAGACUUGAUGGAAAACCAUGUUGUCUGCAGCCAGGUACUCUGGCUCUUUGCUGACACCUUGUGGUCAAACACUGGUACUGUUGGGAUGCAAGUCUCAGCAGUUGUUGAAAUACACAACGGUCAAAUGAUGCAUCACAAUGCAGCUGUAUUUCUGUAGAUCUAUAAACCACACUGUGACUGGACUGUAUGAAUGUGACCUGACGUGGCAGAGUUCUGCAGAUGGAGUCACACAUUCAGCUCCAACACCAAAUAUAACAACCUUCAACUCACAGGAGGAAACAUGGGUUUGAGCUCAGGCUUCAUUUGAUGGAGUUGGGCCGUUUGGGAGUUUUCCACAUUUUAACAAACUAUUGACGAAUCAGACCGAUCUCAAGGAAACACGUCUUCAUCGAGUUCACAUGAUGUUGUUACAGUUAAUAACAAUAUAUAUGUUAUUAUUAUUGUUAUUAUAAAUGUCUUAAAAAAACUAUUUCAUGAGUUAGGUUACAAACAACAGUUUUAAUUUUAGAACACACGCACACACAAACAAACAAACAAACACAGACACAUACACACAAACACACAGAGUCACGUGAUUUCCAGUAACUGUAGAGGGGGAGGAGCCUCCAGUGAAAGUGAAAGUGUUCAGACUGGUUCUCACUUCAAGGAGCAGACGGAGGAGACGUGAAGUCUGAGGCUGAUAAACAUUGAAACUGGUGUGAAAGAUCAUUUCACUGUGUUCUGCUGUAAACUGAGCACAGAACCAGAGGAAAUAGACCAGACCUUGAAUAUCUAGAAGAGCAGCGUGGCCUGAACCACAACUGAGCCGCAGCCGGUGCAACAUGGACGAGGACACUUCAGAGCAAGUUGGACCCUCAACCACAAAAGGUCAGGACCACAGACUGAGGGCAGAGUCUCCAGGGUCCAGCUGUCUGUCUCUGAAGAGUGACUGGUCCAUGGGAGAAGGUCCAAACUUCAGUAAAGAACCUGGACCCUCACACACAGAGGAGAGGAAGAGGAGUCAUGUUUCUGAGGAGGAGCAGUCGUCCUGCUGUGCUUCGUGUCAGGACGUCCUGAAGGAUCCAGUCUCCACCAGCUGUGGACACUGGUUCUGCAGACAGUGCAUCACCUCAUACUGGGACCAGUCUGGUUCUUCAGGAGACUCCUCCUGUCCCCAGUGUGGAAAAAGAUCCAGAAGAGGAGCUGGAGCAGAUCGUGGUCUGCAGGAGGUUUCAGAUGAACAUAAGCUCAGUCUGAGGAGGAGAUGUGAACAUGUGACUGAAGGAAGUGAUGAAACAGGAAGUAGAACCCACCUCAACAGGAUCUACACUGAGCUCCACAUCACAGAGGGACAGAGUGAAGAGGUUAAUACUCAACAUGAGGUGAGGCAGCUUGAGACGGCUUCCAAGAUGAAGAUCCUCCAGGACACUCCCAUCAAGGUCCACGACAUCUUUAAAGCCUCCACUGACCAGCAGAGCAGCAUCAGAGUCGUCCUGACCAACGGCGUCGCUGGAGUUGGAAAAACCUUCUCGGUGCAGAAGUUCACUCUGGACUGGGCAGAGGGUUUAGAGAACCAGGAUGUGGGUCUGCUGGCUGUGCUUUCGUUCAGGGAGCUGAACCUGGUGAAGGACCAGCAGCACAGUCUUCUCACGCUGCUCCAUGUUUUCCAUCCAGCGUUACAGAAGCUCACUGCAGAGACGCUCGCUCUCUGUAAACCUUUGUUCAUCUUUGACGGCCUGGAUGAAAGCAGACCUUCUCUGGACUUCAACCACAGGGAGCUUGUGUCUGAGGUCACACAGAGGUCAUCAGUCAACGUGCUGCUGACAAACCUCAUCCGGGGGAAUCUGCUUCCCUCGGCUCUCGUCUGGAUAACCUCCAGACCUGCGGCGGCCAAUCAGAUCCCUCCUGCAUGUGUUGACAGGGUCACAGAAGUACGAGGCUUCACUGAGGCCCAGAAGGAGGAGUACUUCAGGAGGAGGUUCAGUGAUGAAGAGCUGUGCAGCAGAAUCAUCUCACACAUCAAGACGUCCAGGAGCCUCCACAUCAUGUGUCAAAUCCCAGUCUUCUGCUGGAUCAGUGCUACAGUUCUGGAGCACAUGUUGACCACAGACCAGAGAGGAGAGCUGCCCAAGACCCUGACUGACCUGUACUCACACUUCCUGCUGGUUCAGACAAAGAGGAAGAACAACAAGUACGGUGAGGGACAUGAGACGACUCCACAGCAGCUGACGGAGGCUGACAGGGACGUUCUCCUGAAGCUGGGGAGGCUGGCACUUAAACAUCUGGAGGAAGGAAACAUCAUGUUCUACCAAGAAGACCUGGAGCGGUGUGGUCUUAAUGUCACAGAGGCCUCGGUGUACUCAGGAGUUUGUACUGAGAUCUUCAGAAGAGAGUGUGUGAUCUUCCAGAAAUCAGUCUACUGCUUUGUUCAUCUGAGCGUUCAGGAGUUUCUGGCUGCAGUCUACAUGUUCCACUGUUACACCGAGAGGAACAGAAGAGAACUCAAGAACUUCUUGGGAACAUAUAAGAACAUAGACAGUACCUUCUCUCUGGAUGACCUCCUGAAGAGAACCAUGAAGAAAUCCCUCACCAGUACAAAUGGUCAUCUGGACCUGUUUGUUCGCUUCCUUCACGGCCUCAGUCUGGAGUCCAACCAGAGAGUCUUAGGAGGCCUGCUGGGUCGGACAGGGAACAAACCAGAGAUCUUCCAGAGAGUCAUCAACAACCUGAAGGAGAUGAAGAGUGAUCACAUUUCUCCUGACAGAAGCAUCAACAUCUUCCUCUGUCUGACUGAGAUGAACGACCACUCAGUUCAUCAGCAGAUGAAACAGUUCCUGACGUCAGAGAACAGAUCAGAGGAGAAACUCUCUGAGAUCCACUGCUCAGCUCUGGCCUACAUGCUGCAGAUGUCAGAGGAGGUUCUGGAUGAGUUGGACUUGAUGAAGUUCAACACAACAAACCAGGGUCGACUGAGACUGAUCCCAGCUGUGAGGAACUGCAGGAAGGCUCGACUCAGUGGUUGUGGACUCUCAGAGAUUCACUGUGAAGUCGUGGCCUCAGCUCUGAAGUCAGACCCCUCACAUCUGAGAGAACUGGAUCUGAGUGGAAACUACCUGCAGAGUUCAGGAGUGAAGCUGCUGUGUUCUGGACUGGAGAGUCCAAACUGUCGACUGGAGACUCUGAGGUUGUGGAACUGCAGUCUGUCAGAGAUCAGCUGUUCUUCUCUGGCUUCAGCUCUGAGGUCAAACCCCUCUCAUCUGAGAGAUCUGGAUCUGAGUGGAAACAACCUGCAGGACUCAGGAGUGAAGGAGCUGUGUGGUUUUCUACAGAGUCCAACCUGUCGACUGGAGACUCUGAGGUUGUGGAGCUGCAGACUGUCAGAGAUCAGCUGUUCUUCUCUGGCUUCAGCUCUGAGGUCAAACCCCUCUCAUCUGAGAGAACUGGAUCUGACACUAAACAACCUGCAGGACUCAGCAGUGAAGGAGCUGUGUGGUUUUCUACAGAGUCCAACCUGUCGACUGGAGACUCUGAGGUUGAGACUCUGCAGUCUGUCAGAGAUCAGCUGUUCUUCUCUGGCUUCAGCUCUGAGGUCAAACCCCUCUCAUCUGAGAGAACUGGAUCUGAGAGACAACAACAACCUGAAGGACUCAGGAGUGAAGGAGCUGUGUGGUUUUCUACAGAGUCCAACCUGUCGACUGGAGACUCUGAGGUUGAUGAACUGCAGUCUGACAGAGAUCAGCUGUUCUUCUCUGGCUUCAGCUCUGAGGUCAAACCCCUCUCAUCUGAGAGAACUGGAUCUGAGUCUAAACAACCUGCAGGACUCAGGAGUGAAGGAGCUGUGUGGUUUUCUACAGAGUCCAACCUGUCGACUGGAGACUCUGAGACUCAGUGGUUGUGAACUCUCAGAGACUCACUGUGAAGUCGUGGCCUCAGCUCUGAAGUCAGACCCCUCACAUCUGAGAGAACUGGAUCUGAGUAACAACAACCUGAAGGACUCAGUGAAGCUGCUGUGUUCUGGACUGGAGAGUCCAAACUGUCGACUGGAGACUCUGAGGUUGGUGUACUGCAGUCUGUCAGAGAUCAGCUGUUCUUCUCUGGCUUCAGCUCUGAGGUCAAACCCCUCUCAUCUGAGAGAACUGGAUCUGAGACUCAACGACCUGCAGGACUCAGGAGUGAAGGAGCUGUGUGGUUUUCUACAGAGUCCAACCUGUCGACUGGAGACUCUGAGGUUGGAGGACUGCAGUCUGUCAGAGAUCAGCUGUUCUUCUCUGGCUUCAGCUCUGAGGUCAAACCCCUCUCAUCUGAGAGAACUGGAUCUGAGUAACAGAGACCUGCAGGCCUCAGGAGUGAAGGAGCUGUGUGGUUUUCUACAGAGUCCAACCUGUCGACUGGAGACUCUGAGGUUGACUCACUGCUUUCUGUCAGAGAUCAGCUGUUCUUCUCUGGCUUCAGCUCUGAGGUCAAACCCCUCUCAUCUGAGAGAGCUGGAUCUGAGGUUCAACAACCUGCAGGUCUCAGGAGUGAAGGAGCUUCUUGAUCUACAGCAGAGUCCAACCUGUCGACUGGAGACUCUGAGGUGGAGCUGAGUGUGAAGAGGACAGUGUGAAGAGGACAGUGUGAAGAGGACAGUGUGAAGAGGACAGUGUGAAGAGGACAGUGUGAAGAGGACAGUGUGAAGAGGACAGUGUGAAGAGGACAGUGUGUGUGGACGGAGGCUGAGCUGUGUCCUGAGGAUCCAGAGGCUGAAGCAGCAGCAGCUUGUGUGUAGUCUCCAAUCUACACAACCCCUAAUCUGCAUGUGUUUGUGAGAUGAAGCCGGAGCACCUGGAGAAAACACGGGGAGAACAUGCAGACUCCACACAGGAAGACCCCAUCUGAACCGGAUUCAAACCAGCAACCUUCCUGCCCCGAUUGUGUUUAUUCACAUGAAGAAUGUGUUUAUUGAAAUGACACAACACAAGCAGAAUAUAUAAACCCUCUAUAAAGAGUCACAUACAGUGUGUUUAAGUUUGUCUUUAUUAUUGUCCACCUUUGUCCCUCAGUGUGUCUCCAUGUGUGUAGAACCACAUUCUGUGUAUAUGUUUGUUUAUGAUCUUAAAGUUCCUGGAUUCACGUCACAAAUUGAUUUAGUUCAACACAAAGUUCAACACAUUGAAAUCACUUUGAGUUUAAAAUCAGAGUUUUGUCUUUGACACAAAAGAUCAAAACUCUGGACUUAAAAAUGGGACGUUUUCAUUUCUGCAUCAGGUGCAGAGCGGUGGUGGCUUUUCUACUUUUGACCCACAGGUGGCGCUGCAGUAUAACAGCAGCACAUCCCAGUCAAAGCCUUUAUAUUCAGUCUAUGAGUCAAACACAUGGAUCAUUUCCUCUGUGACAAACCAGAUGUAACGAGAAGAAAAACAUCUCAGAGAGAAAAGUUCUGUUUCUACUUGUCUCUGCUUUAAUGCUCAAUAAACAUCCUUCCACCGA